Molecule: small nucleolar RNA, 174 nt
Filed under: Ochotona princeps (American pika)
Lineage: Eukaryota; Metazoa; Chordata; Mammalia; Lagomorpha; Ochotonidae
Description: Small nucleolar RNA SNORA74 (ENSOPRG00000024045.1)
Source: RNAcentral
UCUUUUAAAAAAAAGAAGCCUGUGAUGGUGCCGCACUGUUGGAAGAGUGAGCACUCCAUGCCUUCACCAAACUUUGGCUGUGUGCACUACUUUGGUGUUUGAGCAAGAACUUUGAGCAAUGUUUUGUGCCUCUGAGAGUCCUGAUGAGUUGGUCCUAGUUUGGAAACAAACAGU